AGUGAACGCUGGCGGUAUGCCUAACACAUGCAAGUCGAACGGCAGCACAGUAGCUUGUUGCUCUUACGGGUGGCGAGUGGCGUACGUGUGAGAUAGAAACCGGUCUCUACUUUUUCGUGGGGGAUAACGUAGGGAAACUUACACUACUACCGCAUACCACCUACGGGUGAAAGCAGUGCAUCUUUGGACCUUGCGCGUUUGACGGAGCCGAUGUCGGAUUAGCUAGUUGGAGGGGUAAAGGCACACCAAGGCGACGAUCCGUAGCUGGUCUGAGAGGAUGAUCAGCCACACUGGAACUGAGACACGGUCCAGACUCCUACGGGAGGCAGCAGUGGGGAAUAUUGGACAAUGGGCGAAAGCCUGAUCCAGCCAUACCGCGUGGGUGAAGAAGGCCUUCGGGUUGUAAAGCCCUUUUGUUGGGAAAGAAAAGCAGCAGGUUAAUACCCCGCGGUUCUGACGGUACCGAAAGAAUAAGCACCGGCUAACUUCGUG
This 492-nucleotide ribosomal RNA is filed under the name uncultured bacterium. RNAcentral describes it as "partial 16S ribosomal RNA". It matches the Rfam family "Bacterial small subunit ribosomal RNA", at positions 29 to 507 of the family's 1533-position model. The record is from RNAcentral.